ACUUCUCGGCAACGGAUAUCUCGGCUCUCGCAUCGAUGAAGAACGUAGCGAAAUGCGAUACUUGGUGUGAAUGCAAAAUCCCGAACAUCAGCUGAACGCAAGUUGGCCGAGGUUGGUCGAGUACUCGGUGUCA
This 133-nucleotide ribosomal RNA is filed under the name Salix viminalis (osier). It matches the Rfam family "5.8S ribosomal RNA". From Rfam's summary of the family: 5.8S ribosomal RNA (5.8S rRNA) is a component of the large subunit of the eukaryotic ribosome. It is transcribed by RNA polymerase I as part of the 45S precursor that also contains 18S and 28S rRNA. Lineage: Eukaryota; Viridiplantae; Streptophyta; Magnoliopsida; Malpighiales; Salicaceae. The record is from RNAcentral.